RNAcentral lists this transfer RNA (76 nucleotides) under Burkholderiales bacterium. Its description in RNAcentral is "tRNA-Val". It matches the Rfam family "tRNA". Rfam says of the family: Transfer RNA (tRNA) molecules are approximately 80 nucleotides in length. Their secondary structure includes four short double-helical elements and three loops (D, anti-codon, and T loops). Further hydrogen bonds mediate the characteristic L-shaped molecular structure. tRNAs have two regions of fundamental functional importance: the anti-codon, which is responsible for specific mRNA codon recognition, and the 3' end, to which the tRNAs corresponding amino acid is attached (by aminoacyl-tRNA synthetases). tRNAs cope with the degeneracy of the genetic code in two manners: having more than one tRNA (with a specific anti-codon) for a particular amino acid; and 'wobble' base-pairing, i.e. permitting non-standard base-pairing at the 3rd anti-codon position. Lineage: Bacteria; Pseudomonadati; Pseudomonadota; Betaproteobacteria; Burkholderiales. The record is from RNAcentral. RNAcentral also lists the same sequence under 2 other names.
GGGUGGUUAACUCAGAUGGUAGAGUGCCUGCCUUACAAGCAGGUUGUCGGCGGUUCGAUCCCGUCACCACCCACCA